UACGGAGGGUGCAAGCGUUAAUCGGAAUUACUGGGCGUAAAGCGUGCGUAGGUGGUUCGUUAAGUCCGUUGUGAAAGCCCCGAGCUCAACUUGGGAAUUGCAGUGGAUACUGGCGAGCUGGAGUGCGGUAGAGGAAGGUGGAAUUCCCGGUGUAGCGGUGAAAUGCGUAGAGAUCGGGAGGAACACCUGUGGCGAAGGCGGCCCCCUGGCCGGCCCUGACACUGAGACGCGAAGGCGUGGGGAGCGAACGGG
Molecule: ribosomal RNA, 252 nt
Filed under: uncultured bacterium
Lineage: Bacteria
Description: partial 16S ribosomal RNA
Rfam family: Bacterial small subunit ribosomal RNA
Source: RNAcentral